This is a long non-coding RNA of Cinclus cinclus, 183 nucleotides long. RefSeq lists it as uncharacterized. Lineage: Eukaryota; Metazoa; Chordata; Aves; Passeriformes; Cinclidae. The transcript has 3 exons. The record is from RefSeq and is a predicted model, not a curated record.
CCGGACCCCGCAGGCACAGCCGGACCCCGCAGGAACAGCCGGACCCCGCAGGAACAGCCGGACCCUGCAGGUACAGCCGGACCCUGCAGGCACAGCCGGACCCUGCACCUUUCGCCAACGCUGACGGGGGUUUUCUGGUGGAGUUGUUGCUUCCUUUCCCUUUUGACCUCGAAAGAGAAUUCC